This 735-nucleotide ribosomal RNA is filed under the name uncultured Fusobacterium sp. RNAcentral's name for it is "bacterial SSU rRNA". It matches the Rfam family "Bacterial small subunit ribosomal RNA", at positions 28 to 776 of the family's 1533-position model. Lineage: Bacteria; Fusobacteriati; Fusobacteriota; Fusobacteriia; Fusobacteriales; Fusobacteriaceae. The record is from RNAcentral.
GAUGAACGCUGACAGAAUGCUUAACACAUGCAAGUCAACUUGAAUUUGGGUUUUUAACUUAGGUUUGGGUGGCGGACGGGUGAGUAACGCGUAAAGAACUUGCCUCACAGUUAGGGACAACAUUUGGAAACGAACGCUAAUACCUAAUAUUAUGAUAAUAGGGCAUCCUAUGAUUAUGAAAGCUAUAAGCGCUGUGAGAGAGCUUUGCGUCCCAUUAGCUAGUUGGAGAGGUAACGGCUCACCAAGGCGAUGAUGGGUAGCCGGCCUGAGAGGGUGAUCGGCCACAAGGGGACUGAGACACGGCCCUUACUCCUACGGGAGGCAGCAGUGGGGAAUAUUGGACAAUGGACCAAGAGUCUGAUCCAGCAAUUCUGUGUGCACGAUGAAGUUUUUCGGAAUGUAAAGUGCUUUCAGUUGGGAAGAAAGAAAUGACGGUACCAACAGAAGAAGUGACGGCUAAAUACGUGCCAGCAGCCGCGGUAAUACGUAUGUCACGAGCGUUAUCCGGAUUUAUUGGGCGUAAAGCGCGUCUAGGUGGUUAUGUAAGUCUGAUGUGAAAAUGCAGGGCUCAACUCUGUAUUGCGUUGGAAACUGUAUAACUAGAGUACUGGAGAGGUAAGCGGAACUACAAGUGUAGAGGUGAAAUUCGUAGAUAUUUGUAGGAAUGCCGAUGGGGAAGCCAGCUUACUGGACAGAUACUGACGCUGAAGCGCGAAAGCGUGGGUAGCAAACAGG